RNAcentral lists this ribosomal RNA (207 nucleotides) under uncultured bacterium. Its description in RNAcentral is "partial 16S ribosomal RNA". It matches the Rfam family "Bacterial small subunit ribosomal RNA", at positions 568 to 774 of the family's 1533-position model. The record is from RNAcentral.
CAUGCAGGCGGAUCGUUAAGUCGGGGGUGAAAGCCCGAGGCCCAACCUCGGAACUGCCUUCGAUACUGGCGAUCUUGAGUCCGGGAGAGGUGAGUGGAACUCCGAGUGUAGAGGUGAAAUUCGUAGAUAUUCGGAAGAACACCAGUGGCGAAGGCGGCUCACUGGCCCGGUACUGACGCUGAGAUGCGAAAGCGUGGGGAGCAAACA